CCCUCAACCUGUCAACAUACGUAUCAGAGCUUCUCUCUCCCCUCUUUCUCAUUUCUUUUCAUUUCCUUCCCUUCUCUCGAUAAACCGAUUGAAGGAGAGGUUAGGUUUCUUGAUGGUUUAGCUGUGGAGAGCUGCGACAGUUGGGAGAAACCUGGCGGAGAGUGAAUCCGAGAGAGACUUGAGGGAGUUCCUUGCUGUUCCGAAUUGCAGAAGGGAUUUGAGGGAGCUUCGAAGUAGGAGCUGCGAAGAAGAAAGUGCAGAUUUCUCUUGAAUUGAGCUAAGAAGAAAUGAAGUGCAGUUUGCUUGGUGUUUGAGCUGAAGAAAGGACUUUAGAGCAGUUUUUUUUGGCUGUUGGAGCAUCGAAUUAAGGAUUGAGGCCCUAACUUGGAAAUGAUCGCAUACAAACCUAAUUGAGGGUAAAGCGAACGCGUUGGCGAAGUCGGUUCGGCAAUCCGUCGAGCCUACGCAAAGAUAUCGCCCAAAAGACGUUUUUGUCUUCAAUUAUCGCGAGUGUGGAUCGUGAUUCUUGGGAAAGUGCGGGAAGUGGAUUUCUCGCAUUCCAGUAUUAAGUAAAGAUGGGUUGUGUUUUACCGAAGUGAUUAGGUCACUUCCAUGCCAAAGUAAAGUAUAAUUAUUUUGACGCAUACAUGUAUAGUGGUAGAUUGUGAGUAAUAAUAUGAAAGCUUAAAUCGUAUUGUAUCAA
Molecule: long non-coding RNA, 703 nt
Organism: Ananas comosus (pineapple)
Lineage: Eukaryota; Viridiplantae; Streptophyta; Magnoliopsida; Poales; Bromeliaceae
Exons: 2
Source: RefSeq, a predicted model, not a curated record